This 468-nucleotide ribosomal RNA is filed under the name uncultured bacterium. Its description in RNAcentral is "partial 16S ribosomal RNA". It matches the Rfam family "Bacterial small subunit ribosomal RNA", at positions 28 to 507 of the family's 1533-position model. The record is from RNAcentral.
GACGAACGCUGGCGGCGUGCUUAACACAUGCCAGUCGAACGGAAAGGCCCUGCUUUUGUGGGGUGCUCGAGUGGCGAACGGGUGAGUAACACGUGAGUAACCUGCCCUUGACUUUGGGAUAACUUCAGGAAACUGGGGCUAAUACCGGAUAGGAGCUCCUGCUGCAUGGUGGGGGUUGGAAAGUUUCGGCGGUUGGGGAUGGACUCGCGGCUUAUCAGCUUGUUGGUGGGGUAGUGGCUUACCAAGGCUUUGACGGGUAGCCGGCCUGAGAGGGUGACCGGCCACAUUGGGACUGAGAUACGGCCCAGACUCCUACGGGAGGCAGCAGUGGGGAAUAUUGCACAAUGGGCGGAAGCCUGAUGCAGCAACGCCGCGUGCGGGAUGACGGCCUUCGGGUUGUAAACCGCCUUCGCCUGUGACGAAGCGUGAGUGACGGUAAUGGGUAAAGAAGCACCGGCUAACUACGUG